AGAAUGAAUAACGGUUUCUCGAGAAUUAAACUUACGGAAAUUGAGAAAAAACUUCUGGAUGACCUCUCAACGCCUGAUUUUAAUCCACAUCGACUCAGCUAUCAAAAUAAUAAUAAUUCAUCGACUUCUCAUACAAUAAUGAAGAGACAACAAAGUAAGAACAACACACCAAACAAAAGUGUCCGAUUCGAGGACGAUUUUGAGGAUCCUAUCCUUUGUUCCCGAUUUCCAUCUGCCCAGUGCAUUCAAAUAACCUCCAAACUUUCCUCCGAUUCAUCUGAUGGAUUUUUAAUAGCUGCUAAAGCACAACGGCCCCAUCAAAAAAGUUUCGAAAUAUCCUCAGAAUUGACCGACUUUGAUGUCAAUCCUCGUUCAGCCUCCCGCCUGCCACAAGCCGACCGUGAACCGCAACGUGAACUCCGCUAUCCUAACGCCAUGU
Molecule: long non-coding RNA, 439 nt
Organism: Octopus sinensis (East Asian common octopus)
Lineage: Eukaryota; Metazoa; Mollusca; Cephalopoda; Octopoda; Octopodidae
Exons: 3
Source: RefSeq, a predicted model, not a curated record